Non-coding RNA from Oryctolagus cuniculus (rabbit), 2922 nucleotides. NCBI's taxonomy places the organism in Eukaryota, Metazoa, Chordata, Mammalia, Lagomorpha, Leporidae. The record is from RefSeq and is a predicted model, not a curated record.
ACAGCUAUUUCCCUUAUGGUGAAAAACUUGCUUUGGAUGGUUUUCCCCACCUGCCUUCCUCCUGACAUCGCAUCUCUGGGGUGGGAGCGGCUCUGCACACAGCUGGCUCCAGCUACAAAAUCUGCUUCCAGAAGAGGGAGUGCCAAGGAGGCUGCGAAAACACCGGGUCCCUCCCUCCCCCAUUUGCCAACAUCACCACAGCCUGCAAUAAGCAGAUCUCAUCCCCGUCCUGGCCACACACCCCGGAAAGAGGGGACAGCGUGGGCCUCUUGCCGUGAAUCCGCAGGUGUCCUGCUGGCCAGUGGACCGACUCCCCCAUCUCACCCGGAAGUCGCACAGCUGAUCUCAUCACGUGAUUGCAAAAUCAUUUAGAACCUGAAGGGACGUCUUUAAAGACCGAGAAUCUGUCGUCUGGGAGAGGAACCGAGGGGCGGAGAAGACACAGCAGCACGAGGUGGCACAAGGCAGCGUGUGGGUCUCGCGGAGUCCCGCCAUCGCCCAGGGCCGUGCAGCCGGGCCAGGUUGCCAUCUCCCCACAGUGCCCUGCUGGGAUGGUCUCGUGGUCGCCCCCUGGAGGCGGGACGUGCCCAGGUUCCUCUGCCGUCCAGCUCCCUUAGGGUUUGUCUCACGUGUCCCCGGUCAUGCGCAAACAGUGGGAUUUGCCUGUUUCUGAGCUUGCUCACACGUGAGGCCACGAGACCAGGGUUAAGAUCAUCGGGGUGGCACGCCGUGCCUGCCUCUGCUCGGGGGGGAUUGUCCUCUGGCCAUUAGUUCCAAGACCCUCAUGCUUCUUUGGUUGCUCUGCUGUUUUGGACACACUGCGUUUCUGCGUUCUGAGGUACGAAGACAGGGUCAGGGCAAGAGUGACUGUCCCAGCCAGCCGGGAUCGGUGAGCUCCCUGCUGGAGUAUAACAUGACACACAGAAGAGUGCCUGCAUCAGCCGUAAACAGCUUGACGCGUUUUCACAAAGCACAGCCCAGGACGCGAACUUGACCAGCACGCGCCUCCCCGUCACCCCCCCGCCCAGCAAGGCCUCUCUGCCUUUCAGCAGCUUAGAUCAGCUUUAGCGGGCAGGAGUUUGUCCCCGGCUCACAUGACAGCCUGGCCUGCAGCUGCCCUCCGGUUCAGGAUGGCUGCGGGGCUGAUCUCCAGCAGGGAGGGCCCUGCUUCAUCUCCUUGUCCUCCUUGCCCUUGUGACUGAGCCAGCACACACGCACACACACACACACACACACACACACACACGGUUGCUGCUUGAGGGGCAGGGCUGGGCCCAUCUCAGCUGUCAGAUGUUCCUCUCUGGGGGUGCCGCCACCCGUGAGGUCGGCUGGUGACUCAAGGCCAGGGGGGUGGGGGGCUCCCUUUCCUUAUACUUCUAGAAGCCCCACCACGUGCACCAGGCAGCAGGAGGCCCUGGAGCAGGGUGACUCAGCAGUGUCUACGUGCAGAGAAGCCGAGUUCUGUGCUCUGGGAAAAGCAGCAGGUGGCAUUGGGUCGGGCUUGCCCCAUCCAGCGCAGCUUGUACUGUUUGGAAACCGCUUCCCCCCCAGCACCUCUGCUGGGCCCUCUGUUUAUCUGUGCAUGCUGAGCCCAGGUGCCAGGUGCCAGCCUGGACCUGUUUGCCUCCUGAGCUAUCUUCCAUCUGCUCUCCACCCCUCGUCCCCACUGCGGGCUGACGGCACAUCCUGCGUGCCCACCUCACUAAUAAACACCAGCCUGGCCUUUGUGCUGACCCCGUGCACGUCCCUGUAUCGGAGACUCUGCCCUCUGCCUCCUCAGCAGAGUGGCUCUGCUCGUGCAGGGCAGGAAGGCUGGAGGGCUGGGGGGCCUGAGGUCAGGGAGAAGGGCUCCUGUGCAGAGCAGCCCACCCCCAGGGAGCCCUAGCAUAGCCACACAGGAGUGUCCACAGCACCUCUGGUCCCCUGGGGCUAUAACAGAGCCAGGGAGCCCUACAGACACCUGGCUUGUGUUUGUGGUAGCAGACACGGGGCGACCCUCUGACUCCUGGGCUAGAAAGCUCUUGAGAGCCAUCAGGUCAGUGAUGUUCUCACAGAUGUGCCCAAGAGUCCCUUGGGGUGAGCAUGGAGGGUGGAGGUGAGGAGGGCUACAGUGUCAUGCAGUGGCUUAAGCCACCGCCUGCAGUACCAGCAUCCCAUAUGGGCACCAGUUCGAGUUCUAGCUGCUCCACUUCUGAUCUGGCUCCCUGCUAAUGUGCCUGGGAAAACAGCAGAAGAUGGCCCAAGUGCUUGGGCCCCUGCACUAUGUGGGAGACCCAGAUGGAGUUCCUGGCUCCUGGCUCCAGCCUGGCCCAGCCCUGAUCAUUGCAGCCUUCUGCCUUUCAAAUAAUUAAAAAAAUAAAGUAAACAUUUUGAAAGUUACAUGUAGGGGGAAUGUUUUAGAAAUGCAGGUUUCUCAGGCUCCCUCCCUCCCCCAGGUCCAGGCUAAGGCCUGGAAAUCUGCAUUUUGCAACAUAUUCCAGGUGAUUCUGACGUAGGUGACCCCCAGCUGCAGUUUGAGGAACUCCCAUGGAGACACACCCUCGUCCAGGUACAGAAAAGGGAAGCAGGCCCCGAGGGCUUCCCGAGGCGCUCACAGAGCACGGCCUAGCACCUGAGUCCCACCGUCCCUCCAUGCCUGCCACCUCCCCUGCAUGCUCUCCCAGCUCUGCCGCCACUUCCUACCAGGUCUCCCGCCCUGUAAGCUGGAGGGGAACACACAGGCUAGGGCUCCUGCCAAGGCCAAACACCUUCCUGCCUCCCUCCACCCCCUAUCCCUGCCUUAUUCUUCCUGAGACACAGAUUUCCUCCCUGCCCGGCCCGUCCACGUAGUGGGACAGCCUGGGCCUCCCCUGCCCAGCCCGGGUGUCUGCCCUCAGAGCCUCUGCUCCUGCCUCCCUCAGAGACCACCUGCUCCUCCUUCCC